CAAAUAUCUGCCCUAUCAACUUUCGAUGGUAGGAUAGUGGCCUACCAUGGUUUUUACGGGUAACGGGGAAUAAGGGUUCGAUUCCGGAGAGGGAGCCUGAGAAACGGUACCACAUCCAAGGAAGGCAGCAGGCGCGCAAAUUACCCAAUCCCAAUUCGGGGAGGUAGUGACAAUAAAUAACAAUAUAGGGCUCUUUUGGGUCUUAUAAUUGGAAUGAGUACAAUUUAAAUCACUUAACGAGGAACAAUUGGAGGGCAAGUCUGGUGCCAGCAGCCGCGGUAAUUCCAGCUCCAAUAGCGUCAUAUUCAAAGUUGUUGCAGUUAAAAAGCUCGUAGUUGAAAUUUGGGCCUGGACGGGCGGUCCGCCGCAAGGGUUGUACUGUCUGGCUGGGUCUUUUCCUCUUGGUGAAUCGGGUGUCCUUCACUGGGUGCGUCGG
RNAcentral lists this ribosomal RNA (436 nucleotides) under uncultured fungus. Its description in RNAcentral is "SSU rRNA". It matches the Rfam family "Eukaryotic small subunit ribosomal RNA", at positions 300 to 735 of the family's 1831-position model. The record is from RNAcentral. Lineage: Eukaryota; Fungi.